This 429-nucleotide ribosomal RNA is filed under the name Chloroflexota bacterium. RNAcentral's name for it is "Chloroflexi bacterium partial 16S ribosomal RNA". It matches the Rfam family "Bacterial small subunit ribosomal RNA", at positions 355 to 776 of the family's 1533-position model. The record is from RNAcentral. Lineage: Bacteria; Bacillati; Chloroflexota.
UGGGGAAUAUUGCACAAUGGGCGCAAGCCUGAUGCAGCCAUGCCGCGUGUAUGAAGAAGGCCUUCGGGUUGUAAAGUACUUUCAGCGGGGAGGAAGGGAGUAAAGUUAAUACCUUUGCUCAUUGACGUUACCCGCAGAAGAAGCACCGGCUAACUCCGUGCCAGCAGCCGCUGUAAUACGGAGGGUGCAAGCGUUAAUCGGAAUUACUGGGCGUAAAGCGCACGCAGGCGGUUUGUUAAGUCAGAUGUGAAAUCCCCGGGCUCAACCUGGGAACUGCAUAUGAUACUGGCAAGCUUGAGUCUCGUAGAGGGGGGUAGAAUUCCAGGUGUAGCGGUGAAAUGCGUAGAGAUCUGGAGGAAUACCGGUGGCGAAGGCGGCCCCCUGGACGAAGACUGACGCUCAGGUGCGAAAGCGUGGGGAGCAAACAGG